UUUUAAUUGAAGAGUUUGAUCAUGGCUCAGAUUGAACGCUGGCGGCAGGCUUAACACAUGCAAGUCGAGCGGUAGCACAGGGGAGCUUGCUCCCUGGGUGACGAGCGGCGGAC
This 113-nucleotide ribosomal RNA is filed under the name Serratia marcescens. RNAcentral describes it as "partial 16S ribosomal RNA". It matches the Rfam family "Bacterial small subunit ribosomal RNA", at positions 1 to 103 of the family's 1533-position model. The record is from RNAcentral. Lineage: Bacteria; Pseudomonadati; Pseudomonadota; Gammaproteobacteria; Enterobacterales; Yersiniaceae.